This 493-nucleotide ribosomal RNA is filed under the name uncultured bacterium. RNAcentral's name for it is "partial 16S ribosomal RNA". It matches the Rfam family "Bacterial small subunit ribosomal RNA", at positions 29 to 523 of the family's 1533-position model. The record is from RNAcentral.
AUUGGACGCUGGCGGCAUGCUUUACACAUGCAAGUCGAACGGUAACAGGUUAAGCUGACGAGUGGCGAACGGGUGAGUAAUGCAUCGGAACGUGCCCGGUCGUGGGGGAUAACGCAGCGAAAGCUGCGCUAAUACCGCAUACGAUCUGAGGAUGAAAGCGGGGGACCGUAAGGCCUCGCGCGAUCGGAGCGGCCGAUGUCAGAUUAGGCAGUUGGUGGGGUAAAGGCUCACCAAGCCAACGAUCUGUAGCUGGUCUGAGAGGACGACCAGCCACACUGGGACUGAGACACGGCCCAGACUCCUACGGGAGGCAGCAGUGGGGAAUUUUGGACAAUGGGCGAAAGCCUGAUCCAGCAAUGCCGCGUGCAGGAAGAAGGCCUUCGGGUUGUAAACUGCUUUUGUACGGAGCGAAAAGGUCUCCUCUAAUACAGGGGGCUCAUGACGGUACCGUAAGAAUAAGCACCGGCUAACUACGUGCCAGCCGCCGCAGUAA